CCUACGGGAGGCAGCAGUAGGGAAUAUUGCACAAUGGGGGAAACCCUGAUGCAGCGACGCCGCGUGAGUGAAGAAGUAUUUCGGUAUGUAAAGCUCUAUCAGCAGGGAAGACAAUGACGGGUCCUGACUGACAAUCCCCGGCUAACUACGUGCCAGCAGCCGCGGUAAAACUUAGGGGGCACGCGUUAUGCGGUAUUACGGGGGGUAAAGGGGGCGGAGACUGUGGUGCAAGUCUGAAGUGAAGGCCCGGGGCUCAACUCGGGGAUUGCUUUUGAAACUGUGUGACUGGAGUGCAGGAGAGGUAAGCGGAACUCCAGGUGUAGCGGUGAAAUGCGUAGAUAUAAGGAGGAACACCAGUGGCGAAGGCGGCUCACUGGACUGUAACUGACGUUGAGGCUCGAAAGCGUGGGGAGCAAACAGGAUUAGAUACCCCUGUAGUC
This 440-nucleotide ribosomal RNA is filed under the name uncultured bacterium. RNAcentral's name for it is "partial 16S ribosomal RNA". It matches the Rfam family "Bacterial small subunit ribosomal RNA", at positions 338 to 795 of the family's 1533-position model. The record is from RNAcentral.